RNAcentral lists this unclassified non-coding RNA (220 nucleotides) under plant metagenome. RNAcentral's name for it is "partial contains small subunit ribosomal RNA, internal transcribed spacer 1, and 5.8S ribosomal RNA". The record is from RNAcentral.
UUUCCGUAGGUGAACCUGCGGAAGGAUCAUUACAGAGUUCAUGCCCUCACGGGUAGAUCUCCCACCCUUGAAUAUUUAUACCUUAGUUGCUUUGGCAGGCCGUGGAAACACCAUGGGCUCCGGCUUAUGCGUGCCUGCCAGAGGAAACAAACUCUGUUUUUAGUGAUGUCUGAGUACUGUAUAAUAGUUAAAACUUUCAACAACGGAUCUCUUGGUUCUG